This 1090-nucleotide ribosomal RNA is filed under the name Escherichia coli. RNAcentral's name for it is "partial 23S ribosomal RNA". It matches the Rfam family "Bacterial large subunit ribosomal RNA", at positions 63 to 1194 of the family's 2925-position model. Lineage: Bacteria; Pseudomonadati; Pseudomonadota; Gammaproteobacteria; Enterobacterales; Enterobacteriaceae. The record is from RNAcentral.
AAUCUGCGAUAAGCGUCGGUAAGGUGAUAUGAACCGUUAUAACCGGCGAUUUCCGAAUGGGGAAACCCAGUGUGUUUCGACACACUAUCAUUAACUGAAUCCAUAGGUUAAUGAGGCGAACCGGGGGAACUGAAACAUCUAAGUACCCCGAGGAAAAGAAAUCAACCGAGAUUCCCCCAGUAGCGGCGAGCGAACGGGGAGCAGCCCAGAGCCUGAAUCAGUAUGUGUGUUAGUGGAAGCGUCUGGAAAGGCGCGCGAUACAGGGUGACAGCCCCGUACACAAAAAUGCACAUGCUGUGAGCUCGAUGAGUAGGGCGGGACACGUGGUAUCCUGUCUGAAUAUGGGGGGACCAUCCUCCAAGGCUAAAUACUCCUGACUGACCGAUAGUGAACCAGUACCGUGAGGGAAAGGCGAAAAGAACCCCGGCGAGGGGAGUGAAAAAGAACCUGAAACCGUGUACGUACAAGCAGUGGGAGCACGCUUAGGCGUGUGACUGCGUACCUUUUGUAUAAUGGGUCAGCGACUUAUAUUCUGUAGCAAGGUUAACCGAAUAGGGGAGCCGAAGGGAAACCGAGUCUUAACUGGGCGUUAAGUUGCAGGGUAUAGACCCGAAACCCGGUGAUCUAGCCAUGGGCAGGUUGAAGGUUGGGUAACACUAACUGGAGGACCGAACCGACUAAUGUUGAAAAAUUAGCGGAUGACUUGUGGCUGGGGGUGAAAGGCCAAUCAAACCGGGAGAUAGCUGGUUCUCCCCGAAAGCUAUUUAGGUAGCGCCUCGUGAAUUCAUCUCCGGGGGUAGAGCACUGUUUCGGCAAGGGGGUCAUCCCGACUUACCAACCCGAUGCAAACUGCGAAUACCGGAGAAUGUUAUCACGGGAGACACACGGCGGGUGCUAACGUCCGUCGUGAAGAGGGAAACAACCCAGACCGCCAGCUAAGGUCCCAAAGUCAUGGUUAAGUGGGAAACGAUGUGGGAAGGCCCAGACAGCCAGGAUGUUGGCUUAGAAGCAGCCAUCAUUUAAAGAAAGCGUAAUAGCUCACUGGUCGAGUCGGCCUGCGCGGAAGAUGUAACGGGGCUAAACCAUGCAC